Molecule: transfer RNA, 73 nt
Filed under: Mustela putorius furo (domestic ferret)
Lineage: Eukaryota; Metazoa; Chordata; Mammalia; Carnivora; Mustelidae
Rfam family: tRNA
About the family: Transfer RNA (tRNA) molecules are approximately 80 nucleotides in length. Their secondary structure includes four short double-helical elements and three loops (D, anti-codon, and T loops).
Source: Rfam by way of RNAcentral
GCCUAACUGACUCAGAUGGUAGAGCACAUGACUCUUAAUCAUGGGGUGGUGAGUUUAAAACCCACACUGGGCA